AGACCCGAAACCCGGUGAUCUAGCCAUGGGCAGGUUGAAGGUUGGGUAACACUAACUGGAGGACCGAACCGACUAAUGUUGAAAAAUUAGCGGAUGACUUGUGGCUGGGGGUGAAAGGCCAAUCAAACCGGGAGAUAGCUGGUUCUCCCCGAAAGCUAUUUAGGUAGCGCCUCGUGAAUUCAUCUCCGGGGGUAGAGCACUGUUUCGGCAAGGGGGUCAUCCCGACUUACCAACCCGAUGCAAACUGCGAAUACCGGAGAAUGUUAUCACGGGAGACACACGGCGGGUGCUAACGUCCGUCGUGAAGAGGGAAACAACCCAGACCGCCAGCUAAGGUCCCAAAGUCAUGGUUAAGUGGGAAACGAUGUGGGAAGGCCCAGACAGCCAGGAUGUUGGCUUAGAAGCAGCCAUCAUUUAAAGAAAGCGUAAUAGCUCACUGGUCGAGUCGGCCUGCGCGGAAGAUGUAACGGGGCUAAACCAUGCACCGAAGCUGCGGCAGCGACACUGUGUGUUGUUGGGUAGGGGAGCGUUCUGUAAGCCUGUGAAGGUGUGCUGUGAGGCAUGCUGGAGGUAUCAGAAGUGCGAAUGCUGACAUAAGUAACGAUAAAGCGGGUGAAAAGCCCGCUCGCCGGAAGACCAAGGGUUCCUGUCCAACGUUAAUCGGGGCAGGGUGAGUCGACCCCUAAGGCGAGGCCGAAAGGCGUAGUCGAUGGGAAACAGGUUAAUAUUCCUGUACUUGGUGUUACUGCGAAGGGGGGACGGAGAAGGCUAUGUUGGCCGGGCGACGGUUGUCCCGGUUUAAGCGUGUAGGCUGGUUUUCCAGGCAAAUCCGGAAAAUCAAGGCUGAGGCGUGAUGACGAGGCACUACGGUGCUGAAGCAACAAAUGCCCUGCUUCCAGGAAAAGCCUCUAAGCAUCAGGUAACAUCAAAUCGUACCCCAAACCGACACAGGUGGUCAGGUAGAGAAUACCAAGGCGCUUGAGAGAACUCGGGUGAAGGAACUAGGCAAAAUGGUGCCGUAACUUCGGGAGAAGGCACGCUGAUAUGUAGGUGAAGUCCCUCGCGGAUGGAGCUGAAAUCAGUCGAAGAUACCAGCUGGCUGCAACUGUUUAUUAAAAACACAGCACUGUGCAAACACGAAAGUGGACGUAUACGGUGUGACGCCUGCCCGGUGCCGGAAGGUUAAUUGAUGGGGUCAGCGCAAGCGAAGCUCUUGAUCGAAGCCCCGGUAAACGGCGGCCGUAACUAUAACGGUCCUAAGGUAGCGAAAUUCCUUGUCGGGUAAGUUCCGACCUGCACGAAUGGCGUAAUGAUGGCCAGGCUGUCUCCACCCGAGACUCAGUGAAAUUGAACUCGCUGUGAAGAUGCAGUGUACCCGCGGCAAGACGGAAAGACCCCGUGAACCUUUACUAUAGCUUGACACUGAACAUUGAGCCUUGAUGUGUAGGAUAGGUGGGAGGCUUUGAAGUGUGGACGCCAGUCUGCAUGGAGCCGACCUUGAAAUACCACCCUUUAAUGUUUGAUGUUCUAACGUGGACCCGUGAUCCGGGUUGCGGACAGUGUCUGGUGGGUAGUUUGACUGGGGCGGUCUCCUCCUAAAGAGUAACGGAGGAGCACGAAGGUUGGCUAAUCCUGGUCGGACAUCAGGAGGUUAGUGCAAUGGCAUAAGCCAGCUUGACUGCGAGCGUGACGGCGCGAGCAGGUGCGAAAGCAGGUCAUAGUGAUCCGGUGGUUCUGAAUGGAAGGGCCAUCGCUCAACGGAUAAAAGGUACUCCGGGGAUAACAGGCUGAUACCGCCCAAGAGUUCAUAUCGACGGCGGUGUUUGGCACCUCGAUGUCGGCUCAUCACAUCCUGGGGCUGAAGUAGGUCCCAAGGGUAUGGCUGUUCGCCAUUUAAAGUGGUACGCGAGCUGGGUUUAGAACGUCGUGAGACAGUUCGGUCCCUAUCUGCCGUGGGCGCUGGAGAACUGAGGGGGGCUGCUCCUAGUACGAGAGGACCGGAGUGGACGCAUCACUGGUGUUCGGGUUGUCAUGCCAAUGGCACUGCCCGGUAGCUAAAUGCGGAAGAGAUAAGUGCUGAAAGCAUCUAAGCACGAAACUUGCCCCGAGAUGAGUUCUCCCUGACCCUUUAAGGGUCCUGAAGGAACGUUGAAGACGACGACGUUGAUAGGCCGGGUGUGUAAGCGCAGCGAUGCGUUGAGCUAACCGGUACUAAUGAACCGUGAGGCUUAACCUUACAACGCCGAAGGUGUUU
Molecule: ribosomal RNA, 2254 nt
Filed under: Escherichia coli
Lineage: Bacteria; Pseudomonadati; Pseudomonadota; Gammaproteobacteria; Enterobacterales; Enterobacteriaceae
Also listed under: 3 other names
Description: bacterial LSU rRNA
Rfam family: Bacterial large subunit ribosomal RNA
Source: RNAcentral